RNAcentral lists this ribosomal RNA (442 nucleotides) under uncultured bacterium. RNAcentral's name for it is "partial 16S ribosomal RNA". It matches the Rfam family "Bacterial small subunit ribosomal RNA", at positions 338 to 795 of the family's 1533-position model. The record is from RNAcentral.
CCUACUGGAGGCAGCAGUGGGGAAUAUUGGGCAAUGGGCGCAAGCCUGACCCAGCAACGCCGCGUGUAGGAAGAAGGCUUUCGGGUUGUAAACUUCUUUCAAGAGGGAAGAGCAGAAGACGGUACCUCUUGAAUAAGCCCCGGCUAACUACGUGCCAGCAGCCGCGGUAAUACGUAGGGAGCGAGCGUUGUCCGGAUUUACUGGGUGUAAAGGGCGUGCAGCCGGGAGUACAAGUCAGAUGUGAAAUCCCGCGGCUCAACCGCGGAACUGCAUUUGAAACUGUAUUUCUUGAGUACUGGAGAGGCAGACGGAAUUCCUAGUGUAGCGGUGAAAUGCGUAGAUAUUAGGAGGAACACCGGCGGCGAAGGCGGCCUGCUGGACCGCGACUGACGUUGAGGCUCGAAAGCGUGGGGAGCGAACAGGAUUAGAUACCCCUGUAGUC